Molecule: long non-coding RNA, 1258 nt
Organism: Calidris pugnax (ruff)
Lineage: Eukaryota; Metazoa; Chordata; Aves; Charadriiformes; Scolopacidae
Exons: 4
Source: RefSeq, a predicted model, not a curated record
CCGCCAUUUUCCUCACCGGGGGCGGUUGCCGGCGUCAAGAGGUCUUCACGUAGAGGGCUGUGAAGACGUCUGUAUGAAAAGAUCUUCAUGUCUAUUCCCUGGAUAUCUUUAAACGUCCGCACGGUGAUUUUUAUCAGUCCUGUGACAUUUAGACCCUCUAGGGUCACUGGCUUCAGCUCCAUCCUGGCAUCCUAACAUAAACCAUGUUGGUGAUGAUAUAUUGACCAUCAAACCACACUGAAGCAUGGAGCUGGUGUACACUAAAUGUAGGGUCAGGGCAGAGUUGAAGGAGUGUAUGGAAAAUGACAAAACUACUACAGCCCCUCUGUCUCCAUCUUGGGAUGAAGUACCCGUUUUUGAACCAGACAUCAGAUGAAUGGACAUCACAAACAAAUCCAUCAAAAAACCCCAAACAAACAAAUGAUUGAGAAGAAAGAAGGCUGACGAUAAUUUAGUGUGCUCCAACACAAAAGCAGUGAGAAAGAAGGACUCAAGUUAAUAUGCAUGUAGUACCUCCGCAUUCAGAAGAAGAGUUUGGACUGUCACAUACGCUGACAUCAUUCUCGUGAGGCAUUUGGCUGUAGUUUUUGCUGCAAUUCUUCUCCUGAUAAAGCAACUUCUCUGAAAACACAUGAAGAAAUAUCACCUGGGUUCAAGAACCUCAUUAACCAGUUCCCAGCCCGUUUUUAACCUCAAAUCACUUUCUGUGGAAGGUUCUUCAUGCUUAAACUUCCACCCGAGCAUCCCAGCAAAUAAAGAAGCUGUUGGCAUUGUCAGACUUUUGUGCUGAAAGCCAAGGGUUAUCUGGAAGAAGAGAAGAAACGGUCCUUAUGUGGCAAUUAAAAGCACUUUGAAUGAACUUACCAAAAAGCUUUGUGUGUGUUAUGCUCCAGUUGGUAACUCCAAUGUCCUGAGAGGAACAUGAAGAUUUGUGUUGCAUGAAGGGUGGACAUGUUGAUUUUUGUUCUGGUUACCUCUUGCUGACAUAUUCUGCUUACUUACAAAUGAAGAGUUUGACAUUUCAGGGCAGAAUCUGUUGAAAUGUACCAAAGCUGACAGUGAACCCUACAGGUUGUUUCUGUACUAUACCUCUCAUUUUUAAUAUGGGUCUCUAUAUAAAUCAGGAAGCCAUUCAAGAAAAUCUACUGAUGCUGUACCACUCAUAAUGUGUCUAUUAUCAUAAGCUAAUCCAAUGUUGAAGUACAAAUAUAAACUAUUGAAUUAUGAUAUCAAAUAAACUUGACUUAAAAUUCAGUGA